RNAcentral lists this ribosomal RNA (460 nucleotides) under uncultured bacterium. RNAcentral's name for it is "partial 16S ribosomal RNA". It matches the Rfam family "Bacterial small subunit ribosomal RNA", at positions 338 to 795 of the family's 1533-position model. The record is from RNAcentral.
CCUACGGGUGGCAGCAGUGAGGAAUAUUGGUCAAUGGCCGCAAGGCUGAACCAGCCAAGUCGCGUGAAGGAAGAAGGAUCUAUGGUUUGUAAACUUCUUUUAUAGGGGAAUAAAGGUAUCCACGAGUGGAGAUUUGCAUGUACCCUACGAAUAAGCAUCGGCUAACUCCGUGCCAGCAGCCGCGGUAAUACGGAGGAUGCGAGCGUUAUCCGGAUUUAUUGGGUUUAACGGGUGGGUAGGUGGUUGUUUAAGUAUGCGGUGAAAGUGUAGGGCUCAACCAUGAAAUUGCCUUUGAAACUGGAAGACUUGAGUGUGUUUGAGGUAGGCGGAAUGCGUGGUGUAGCGGUGAAAUGCAUAGAUAUCACGCAGAACUCCGAUUGCGAAGGCAGCUUACUAGGCCAUAACUGACGCUGAUGCACGAAAGCGUGGGGAGCAAACAGGAUUAGAUACCCCAGUAGUC